Acanthochromis polyacanthus (spiny chromis) is the source of this 1040-nucleotide long non-coding RNA. RefSeq lists it as uncharacterized. The record is from RefSeq and is a predicted model, not a curated record. The transcript is spliced from 4 exons. NCBI's taxonomy places the organism in Eukaryota, Metazoa, Chordata, Actinopteri, Pomacentridae.
AUUUGAAUGAAUCUCUUGUGAUUAUGUCUGAUCAGAUCUAUUCCAACUUUAUUUGGAUGAAUUUUCUUCGACUGUAUUUUGUGUGAUUCUGUCUGAGCUCGGUUCUUGUCGGUGGGACUCUUGUCAGGGUGCCCGUCAGAGGUGUGGGCGGAUCUGGGGGGCAUUGUGGGAAACCUCCUGUGGUGCCCCCCUCACAGUGAAGCUCCGCUCUGUCAGAAGGUGAACAGGAUGCAGACGGCAUGUCACAGAGAAGCAACAUGUGCGUCUGUAUCCCACCCUGGACCCACAGUGGAGUCCACAGUGACAAGAUCACAGUUCAGGAGAGUCACACUGGGAUUAAAAGGGGUGGUUAAAUGUGUUAUUUAAGAUAGUAAGUGUAGUGUGAGGGUGAAAGUCUCGCUGCCAGAGGGAAGUUUCCAGGAGAGGUACGUAAGGAUCCCUGUGAAUGCUGCUGCAUGAAACGGUGAGUUUUGGAUUUUGACUUUGCAUUCAUAUAUCUAAUAUUUUUGAAAUCUCAACAAUAACACACGUCGACAAGAUUCUGCCGCGUUUUUCUUUUUGAUUUCUUUCAGACUGAUGAUCUCGGGACCCAAGACCAAGACAAGGACGACCCCAAAGACGAUUUGAAGACGAGUGACCGAGCCCCAACAGAGAUGAAGCCAGAGACGACGACCGCCCUGUGAGGAGAAGAAACUUUAUUGAGAUUUUACCGGAUGCACUGAAUUGGUGCUUCAACGACAUCAAGCAGAUUCAGACAGGAUGGACCAGAGAUGACGGGAGGCAGAUCCAGGACCAGUGCAUGACUCGUGAGACCAUGCAAUUAACACAAGAGCCAUCUCUCCAAGACCCCCGAUCUUAUGAAAGAUCAGAUCAAUAACCAAAUGAAAAGGUUUCUCUGGAUCUGGAGCUGCAUGUUUCUGAUCUGCUGUUGUCGGCCUCAGCGACCUCCAAAGUCUUCAUGUUCUCUCCUUCCUCUCUACCCUCAACCCAACCAGAAGGUUUUUAAAACUUCCCAACAACAGGAAGUUUUUUUCCUUCAC